GCCGUUGUAGCUCAGUUGGCAGAGCAAUUCCUUGGUAAGGAGUAGGUCUCGGGUUCGAGUCCCGACAACGGCU
RNAcentral lists this transfer RNA (73 nucleotides) under bacterium. RNAcentral describes it as "tRNA-Thr". It matches the Rfam family "tRNA". Rfam says of the family: Transfer RNA (tRNA) molecules are approximately 80 nucleotides in length. Their secondary structure includes four short double-helical elements and three loops (D, anti-codon, and T loops). The record is from RNAcentral.